This 442-nucleotide ribosomal RNA is filed under the name uncultured bacterium. RNAcentral's name for it is "partial 16S ribosomal RNA". It matches the Rfam family "Bacterial small subunit ribosomal RNA", at positions 338 to 795 of the family's 1533-position model. The record is from RNAcentral.
CCUACGGGAGGCAGCAGUGGGGAAUAUUGGGCAAUGGACGCAAGUCUGACCCAGCAACGCCGCGUGAAGGAAGAAGGCUUUCGGGUUGUAAACUUCUUUUAAGGGGGAAGAGCAGAAGACGGUACCCCUUGAAUAAUCCACGGCUAACUACGUGCCAGCAGCCGCGGUAAUACGUAGGUGGCAAGCGUUGUCCGGAUUUACUGGGUGUAAAGGGCGUGCAGCCGGAGAGGCAAGUCAGAUGUGAAAUCCGCGGGCUCAACUCGCGAACUGCAUUUGAAACUGCUUCCCUUGAGUAUCGGAGAGGUAAUCGGAAUUCCUAGUGUAGCGGUGAAAUGCGUAGAUAUUAGGAGGAACACCGGCGGCGAAGGCGGCCUGCUGGACCGUAACUGACGUUGAGGCUCGAAAGCGUGGGGAGCAAACAGGAUUAGAUACCCGAGUAGUC